This 561-nucleotide long non-coding RNA is filed under the name Mytilus galloprovincialis (Mediterranean mussel). The record is from RNAcentral. Lineage: Eukaryota; Metazoa; Mollusca; Bivalvia; Mytilida; Mytilidae.
CUUUGAACAUACAUAUACUACGAAUAAAGUGUAUUUUCAGAAUUUUAUCUGCUAUCAUUUUCAAGUUUACUAUCCACGGCAGUCACAGAGUUUAUUAAGUAGAGAGGGUCUGUAUACUAUAUCAAUGAUCACCAUGGAUCGAUUAGUAAACUUAGAAUUGAAAGUAAAUUCGCUUUAUUUAUAUAGUAAUGAAUGUUCAUAAUAUACAGAUAUGCGCUAAAAUUAUUCAUGUGAACUUUUGAUACUUUUUCUGAAAUUCUCCAGUCAUUAAAUCUUUUACAAAAUUCAUUGAUUACAAAAAAAAGAAGAUGUGGUAUGAUUGCCAUGUUGAGACAACUCUCCACAAGAGACCAAAAUGACACAGAAAUUAACAAUUAUAGGUUACCGUACGGCCUUCAACAAAGAGCAAAGCCCAUACCGCAUACUCAGCUUCAAAAGGCCCCGAAAUGACAAUGUAAAACAAUGCAAACGAGAAAACUAGCGGCCUUAUUUAUGUACAAAAAAAUGAACGAAAAACAAAUAUGUAACACAUAAACAAACGACAACCACUGAAUUACAGGC